AGCGUCAACGAGGGAACAGAUCGACAAGCGACCAGGGCCUCUAGCGCAGAACAUUUGAGUUCUAGUGACGCUGGGACUGAGGGCUGUCCUUCACCUGACUCCGGCAUCGUGACCAUGCAGCAUGAGGACGAACUGGACAAACAGUCUUGUUGCUGGAUGGACCUGUUUUGUUUUGGAGGAAGAGGUCACAGCUCACAGAAGGGUGCUUGGCAAUAGGGACAUCAGAAUUGCCAAAGGAAUUGAAAAAUCUGAUUGUGAGACUUCACAAAGAUGGAAAAGGAUACAGGAAGAUCGGUGACCAACUAAACAUCAGUCGAAACACAGUUGCAGCAGUAAUCAGGAGGUAUAGAACAAGCCAUAGUACCACUAAUCAGAGCCGCAGUAGCCGUCCUCCUAAAAUGACGCCACAGACAGUGCGCUACUUGUACAAUGUAGCUCUGAAAAAUGGAAGGGCAAGUGCUUCAGACUUGCCACAGGGGUUAUCAAUGGAAAUCUGAGUUUCUGUGAUAGCUCAGACAGUGCGAAGGACAUUGCAUAACGUUACCCUCUAUGGACGGCGUCCAAGAAAAAAACCUUUGCUUGCUCUUCGGCACAAAACUGCAAGGAUAAACUUUGCUAAAGAACAUGAAAAGAAGCCUGAUGAGUAUUGGAAGCACAUUCUUUGGUCAGAUGAGUCCAAGAUAAAUUUGUUUGGCUCGGAUGAGGUCCAGCAUGUUUGGGGUGAACCUGGCCAGGACUACCACAAUGAAUGCAUAGUCCCAACAGUGAAGCACGGAGGUGGGAGUGUGAUGAUAUGGGGCUGCAUGAGCGCAAAAAGUGUUGGGGAGAUGACACUUAUAGAUGGCACCAUGAAUGCCUGUGGAUAUACCAAAAUACUGGCUGACAAGAUGACUCCCAGUCUCCAGAAGCUUGGCAGAAGAGGAAUAUUCCAGCAUGAUAACGAUCCAAAGCACACUACCAAAAUCACGCAAGAGUUUCUAAAGAAGACAAAAGUGAAGACUAUGACUGUAGAAGAGGGCCACAGGUUUCUGUUUCUGUCUUUGUCUUUGUUUGCGCACCACCCCCGCCUCUCACAGGCACUUGUUUACAACUCGGUUGAAACCUGCCCAACUGGUUGUUGAACUGUAGAGAGAGAAGGGUGUGUGUGCAUGUUAAUUAAGAUAGUGUGUCCUUGAUUUCCAUAGCCAUUAAUGCAGUCAAAGCCUGUAUGUCCCAUACAAUGUUAUCCCGGUGCAAUGUACUUUGCAGCACUGCUUGAAUGCCUGUUUGUAUAUUGCACAUUCAAUGUAACCAUCAGUCCUGAUUUAUUCUCCCUGCUUACUCCUUGCAGGAAACCACACACAUACAACACAAACCCUCACAU
Megalops cyprinoides (Indo-Pacific tarpon) is the source of this 1363-nucleotide long non-coding RNA. RefSeq lists it as uncharacterized. NCBI's taxonomy places the organism in Eukaryota, Metazoa, Chordata, Actinopteri, Elopiformes, Megalopidae. The transcript is spliced from 3 exons. The record is from RefSeq and is a predicted model, not a curated record.